Molecule: long non-coding RNA, 260 nt
Filed under: Carica papaya (papaya)
Lineage: Eukaryota; Viridiplantae; Streptophyta; Magnoliopsida; Brassicales; Caricaceae
Description: long non-coding RNA (CPAP_LNC006315)
Source: RNAcentral
AGAGAGAGGUCAGAAAGGAAGAGAGGAAGGGAGAAGAAAAGAUAGGAAGGGAAGAAAAAGAGUGUGGUUGAGUGGGAAUAGGAGGAAAGUCGAGAACGACCGGGCAAGAGGGAGGAGAAGAGAGAGAGUCGCAGAGGCAAAAAGCUGAAGAGAAAGGAAGGAAGGGAAGUUGCGGCCGAGGAGCACCGUGUGACGACGAAAUCCAAAGCCAAGAUGCACACAGCGUUGGUGUUCAAAAAAUAAAUUUAAAAAAUCACAUC